UACGGAGGGUGCAAGCGUUAUCCGGAUUCACUGGGUUUAAAGGGUGCGUAGGUGGGUCUGUAAGUCAGUGGUGAAAUCCCCGAGCUUAACUUGGGAACUGCCAUUGAUACUAUAGCUCUUGAAUACUGUGGAGGUCAGCGGAAUAUGUCAUGUAGCGGUGAAAUGCUUAGAUAUGACAUAGAACACCAAUUGCGAAGGCAGCUGGCUACACAAAUAUUGACACUGAGGCACGAAAGCGUGGGGAUCAAACAG
Molecule: ribosomal RNA, 252 nt
Filed under: uncultured bacterium
Lineage: Bacteria
Description: partial 16S ribosomal RNA
Rfam family: Bacterial small subunit ribosomal RNA
Source: RNAcentral